GAUGAACGCUGGCGGCGUGCCUAAUACAUGCAAGUCGAGCGAACAGACGAGGAGCUUGCUCCUCUGACGUUAGCGGCGGACGGGUGAGUAACACGUGGAUAACCUACCUAUAAGACUGGGAUAACUUCGGGAAACCGGAGCUAAUACCGGAUAAUAUAUUGAACCGCAUGGUUCAAUAGUGAAAGACGGUUUUGCUGUCACUUAUAGAUGGAUCCGCGCCGCAUUAGCUAGUUGGUAAGGUAACGGCUUACCAAGGCAACGAUGCGUGGCCGACCUGAGAGAGUGGUCGGCCACCCUAGAGGGGGGACACGGUCAAGACGACUAAGGUAGGCAGCAGAAGGGAACGGGCCGCAGUGGGGGGGAAUAUGGCGGAACAACGGCGAGUGAGUUGUGAAAGUGUUCGGAUCGUAAUAGUCGGUUAUGAGGGAAAAACAAAUGUGUCAGUAACUAUACACGUAGUGACGGUACCGGAUCAAAAAGCCACGGAUAACUACGUG
RNAcentral lists this ribosomal RNA (497 nucleotides) under uncultured bacterium. RNAcentral's name for it is "partial 16S ribosomal RNA". It matches the Rfam family "Bacterial small subunit ribosomal RNA", at positions 28 to 507 of the family's 1533-position model. The record is from RNAcentral.